AGGUAUGCUUUAGGAGGGGCUUGCGCCAUAUUAGUUAGUUGGUAGGGUAAUGGCCUACCAAGACGAUGAUGUGUAGCUGGACUGAGAGGUUGAACAGCCACAUUGGGACUGAGACACGGCCCAAACUCCUACGGGAGGCAGCAGUAGGGAAUUUUCGGCAAUGGAGGAAACUCUGACCGAGCAACGCCGCGUGAAUGACGAAGUACUUCGGUAUGUAAAGUUCUUUUAUCAAGGAAGAAAAGCAAAUGGCGAACCAUUUGUUUGCCGGUACUUGAUGAAUAAGCCCCGGCUAAUUAUGUGCCAGCAGCCGCGGUAAGACAUAAGGGGCAAGUGUUAUCCGGAAUUAUUGGGCGUAAAGGGUGCGUAGGCGGUCUAGUAAGUCAGUGGUGUAAUGGCAACGCUUAACGUUGUCCGGCUAUUGAAACUGCUAAACUUGAGUUAGAUAGAGGCGAGUGGAAUUCCAUGUGUAGCGGUAAAAUGCGUAAAUAUAUGGAGGAACACCAGAGGCGUAGGCGGCUCGCUGGGUCUUAACUGACGCUGAGGCACGAAAGCGUGGGGAGCAAACAGGAUUAGAUACCCUGGUAGUCCACGCCGUAAACGAUGAGUACUAAGUGUCGGGUUAAACCGGUACUGAAGUUAACACAUUAAGUACUCCGCCUGAGUAGUACGUACGCAAGUAUGAAACUUAAAGGAAUUGACGGGACUCCGCACAAGCGGUGGAUCAUGUUGUUUAAUUCGAAGAUACCCGAAAAACCUUACCAGGUCUUGACAUGUUUUUGCAAAAUGAUAGUAAUAUCGUGGAGGUUACCAGAAACACAGGUGGUGCAUGGUUGUCGUCAGCUCGUGUCGUGAGAUGUUAGGUUAAGUCCUAAAACGAGCGAAACCCUUAUCGUUAGUUGCCAGCACGUUAUGGUGGGGACUUUAACGAGACUGCCAAUGAUAAAUUGGAGGAAGGUGAGGAUCACGUCAAAUCAGCAUGCCCCUUAUGACCUGGGCUACAAACGUGAUACAAUGGCUGUUACAAAGGGUAGCUGAAACGCAAGUUCUUGGCCAAUCCCCAAAAACAGUCCCAGUCCGGAUUGAAGUCUGCAACUCGACUUCAUGAAGUGGAAU
RNAcentral lists this ribosomal RNA (1113 nucleotides) under 'Sesamum indicum' phyllody phytoplasma. Its description in RNAcentral is "bacterial SSU rRNA". It matches the Rfam family "Bacterial small subunit ribosomal RNA", at positions 211 to 1332 of the family's 1533-position model. Lineage: Bacteria; Bacillati; Mycoplasmatota; Mollicutes; Acholeplasmatales; Acholeplasmataceae. The record is from RNAcentral.